UACAUUACCAAAUGAUGUUUCUACAGGAAGCCCACACUUCCGUCCUCUGAAACAAGUGUAGGGGACCAAGCUAUGCCAAUUUGUGCAGCAAAGGAAGAGCAACUUGUUUACAAGCUCCCAGAGGAACAGGAGCGUCUCACUAACUGCCUGCGAUUCUGCUAAUGACAGCCAAGCUGCCCCCGGAUCCUGUGCUUCUUUUAAUAAGCUCACAGGAAAUGAUGCUCAUGCCGUGACGGAGGGGACCCGGUGAGGGCUCAGGACGUCCUUACCUUGUCUCCUAGGUAGGAAAGAGGUGCGACCCAGGACGCACUGUGGACUGUAGAGGGCAGCUCCUGGAGGUCUGCAACCACGCUGCUGCUGCCCGGGUUGAAGGAGACAGGGAUGUCUGUUCCGUCUGCCGUCUCCAGGCGCCAACCCAUCAUAUCCACAAACUAGAACACAAGAGCAAAGGAUAGAAACAUGUGCCUUCAGCUUCUCUGGUGAUGGCUGAAUUAUGCGCAAUAGAAGAACCAUGGGGUGGCCAUCUUGUUCUGGAGGCUUCCUGUAUAUGCCCCCUCCUGAGCUUGCACAGAACUCUCACCCAGCACUGCCUCCCACUGCCCCAAGACGACUAGGAGUUCUCAGACAACCGUGAUCAUAUGUAUGUGGGAUUGCUCUUUGUAUCCCAGCAUACAUCCUGGGUUCUUGACAUUUAGCAGGUGUUCAGUAAAUGUCUGAGUAAUAUAUAAAUAAGUGUGGGAAUAAUAACUAGGACUAUGGGCACAUUUUAAUGGCGAGUUCCUUAGAGAACAAAUGUGAGAUGGAACGCAGUGGCCUGCUCUCAUUACUUUCCUUUAAAUAAAUCCUCAUAAUAAA
Long non-coding RNA from Mustela lutreola (European mink), 855 nucleotides. RefSeq lists it as uncharacterized. The record is from RefSeq and is a predicted model, not a curated record. NCBI's taxonomy places the organism in Eukaryota, Metazoa, Chordata, Mammalia, Carnivora, Mustelidae. The transcript has 2 exons.